This 292-nucleotide ribosomal RNA is filed under the name uncultured Propionibacterium sp. Its description in RNAcentral is "partial 16S ribosomal RNA". It matches the Rfam family "Bacterial small subunit ribosomal RNA", at positions 1048 to 1339 of the family's 1533-position model. Lineage: Bacteria; Bacillati; Actinomycetota; Actinomycetes; Propionibacteriales; Propionibacteriaceae. The record is from RNAcentral.
GCUGUNGUCAGCUCGUGUCGUGAGAUGUUGGGUUAAGUCCCGCAACGAGCGCAACCCUUGUUCACUGUUGCCAGCACGUUAUGGUGGGGACUCAGUGGAGACCGCCGGGGUCAACUCGGAGGAAGGUGGGGAUGACGUCAAGUCAUCAUGCCCCUUAUGUCCAGGGCUUCACGCAUGCUACAAUGGCUGGUACAGAGAGUGGCGAGCCUGUGAGGGUGAGCGAAUCUCGGAAAGCCGGUCUCAGUUCGGAUUGGGGUCUGCAACUCGACCUCAUGAAGUCGGAGUCGCUAGU